UGUGCAUUAAUGAUAUGUACUGUACUUUAGUUUGAUUGUGGUUCCGUAAGGAGUUGCAUCAAACCGAUCUAAACCAGACAAAUUAGAAAAUAAAACUUUGGGUUUCAGUUUCGAUGUAAAUAAGAACAAUAUAUAUAACCGAAAAAUCGGAAAUAACUGAAACAAAACCAAACCGGAUUGCCAACACGUUGUUUCCUUACCUUAGGACUGUCGGAGCCGGGAGUGACCAUGUUAGGUUUAAGCAGGGUGCCUUCAAGGAGGACAUGGUGGUCGUUCAAGGCCUUGUACACGGCAGCAAGAACCGUCUCAGUCACCGCGGCACAUUUCUUGAUGUCGUGGCUCCCGUCGGUCAGCACCUCUGGCUCGACGAUCGGGACAAGGCCGUUCUCCUGGCAGAUGAUGGCAUAGCGGGCUAGCCCUUUGGCAUUCUCUUGGAUUGAGAGCUCGCUUGGCUCUGUUGCUCCAAUCUUGAGGACUGCGCGCCAUUUAGCAAACCGGGCUCCUGCCUUGUAAUACUCCUGGCACCGCGCACCAAGCGAGUCUAGACCCUGCGUAGUGGUCUCGCCGUUGGUCCCUGCUAGAUCAACCACACCCUUGUCCACUUUAAUUCCGGGGAUAACACCGUUCUCCUGAUACAAAAAAAAAAGAUCCAAAUUGAAACCGUAAGUUCCAAGCAACUCAAGAGCUUGGAGUCAUGUCAAGAGCUUCAACCAAGCAACUCAUGAACCCAAUGAUUAAGACUAGAGAUGGAGUUUGAUUUUUCUGGGACGGACCAUGAGAAGAUCGACGAAGGGUUUGCCAUCAGAGGUUUUCUGGUAGAGGGUUUCCUCGAAGAGGAUAACACCAGAGAGGCAAGGAACGGUGCCAGGGGAAGUGAAGAGGAGCUCACGGAGAGCUUGGCGGUUGGACUCAAUGUUCUCAACAUUGAUGCUGGCGAAUCGUUUCCCAAUGGUUCCUGUGCUCUCGUCUGCUGCCAAAAUUCCCUUUCCCGGUGUUGCAAUGUAUUUGGCUGUCUUGAUCAGCUCAUCUGAACUCAGAAAACAAAUAUAAGAGAAAAAUCUAAUGAAGAAACUGGAACAUGAGGAGUUGUUAAACGAGAAGAGUGCAUGCUACGUGUACUUACCUGCGUAUUUGCCUACAAAAGCAGACAUGGUUGCUUUUUUAAGGGGAAGAGAGAUGAGUUCUUGCUGAAGAGGACGAGGAUGCCAAGACAAAGCCUUAAGUACCUGCAACUUUUGACAGUAUAAUAUAGGUAAUAUCGAGGGAGGAAUAUACUGUUAGAAUAUGUCUUACGUGUCGGAAGGAGAGCCCGAGGAAGAUUAUCAACCUCGGAUAAAGCAGAUGAGUGAUUGUUUCGACACUACCAAAUGCCAGCCAGUGAUACCAGCUUUAUCCCCAAAGGUCUUGGAUAUGUGGAGAAGAGAAAGAGAUAGGUACAAAACAAAAGCAGAGUGUUUUGUAUACUACCUCUCUCACACUUCAACCACACGUGUGUGCAUCCAAACUUAUUAACAGAGACAAAGAGAUAUUUUUCUUUGGAUAUAAAAGCUUAUGGAGUAGUAUCAAGAUUCCAAUGAUAUCUAUAUAUGGUGUACCAAAUCCCAAGUCUCGGGUUUGAUCAACCCCUCCUUUGGGCAUUUAUAAGUAAAUCUAAACUGUUCUCAAGAACUUGAUGAGAGGGUUUAAACCAACAGAUGUAAAGGGUGAUUCUUUUGAUAGUUUGUAUAGCCGUUGUAGUGGAUAGUAUGGUGAAUACAUCAAUAAACUGCACUGCAGGACAUGGAAGGCACAACCUAAUGCUGCAGGACCACAUACAGUGAUCUAUCUAGUCCUCAUCUGUUCCAAAAUAUCUGUCCCAAAGUCACCUAUGCCAGGAAUAACACAAAACUCUUCAUUUAAUCCAUUUUCGAUUUUAGAUGUCACUAUCUCUAUUCUUGGGUCAUUUUGGCAAAAAAAAAAUUCUCAAUCUAGCUGCAUUCUUGUGGAUAAACAUGGAUGAGUAAUCACAAGUCACAAGAGGUGUUAAGUGAUAUGAAAAGGAGGUGUGUUAGCUUACUCCUUGCAGAGAUAAUGUUUACUUGCAAAAUCCUUACUCACUGUUCGUCCAAGUUUAACCAUCAAUUCCAGUAUUUUUGUAACGAAACUGGUUAUUUUGUUUCAACUUUCAAGUCAUUCUCUUGAAAUUCUUAUAUAUGAUAGAAGUUUUUUUUAAAAUGUUUUGUAAUCUUUUUGUUGAAAUCCAUUGGUGCUCAAAUCACAUUGAAGGCUUGAACUAUAUAACGAAUUUACUCUCAACUCACAAAUUUAUACUUUCUAAUCUAAUCUUAUUAUACUACUACAAUACAAGUCCAAUCAAAAUCUUUUAUAAUGUUAUUUAAUCAACUCUGCCGGAUUAACUAAUAUCUAGAGUUUGACAGUAAAUGGAUAUAAAACAAUGAUUACUAUUAGUUUGCAAAUUGAACAUUUGAAUAGUUAAACUCCCACGAAACAUUUGACAUAUAAUACUCAAAACCACAUCAAAAGCGAACACCCGUUCUCAAACGAUCCUAGUACCUGUAUCCUAUGAUCGGAUCCAACGACUCAGAGGUGGCGGAGUCACCAGAAGUACCUGUGUAUUUCCCGAGGGUAGCGUCCGAGUUAGCCUUGUACCUAAUCAGGAACUUUGCCUGAGCUUUGGCUACGUUUUCGGUCUUACCGGCCCAAGUCUUGAGAGCGCUUUGCUGGAGAGCUCCGCCGAAAGAAAAAGUGAGCGUCCAUGGCUUCAACACAUCAAGCUUGUUCAUUGCGUUUAGAUUUAGUGUCGCUUGCUCUUCGCGCUGCACGCCUGAGAGGAACACGAUUCCCGGAACAGCUGGUGGGACUGUGCGGCGCAGAGCAGUCACCGUGUAUUCCGCGAUUACUUCUGGUGCAACCUGUUAGAAGUACAAUUUAAGCGUUUUGUAGCAAAUUAACGGUGCAUUUCGAAGUAUAUAUGUCUUUGUGAUUCAUUUGAUUGUGGUUCCCAAAAGAGCGGGCAUGCAAAUCUUUAAAAAACUCAAUCAAACCGCUCUAAACCAAACUUUGGUUUGACUAUUAUUUCAGUUUCAAUACCUUUGGGCUGUCGAAGCCGGGAGUGACCAUGUUAGGUUUAAGCAGGAUGCCUUCGAGGAGGACAUGAUGGUCGUUCAAGGCCUUGAACACGGCAGCAAGAACCAUCUCGGUCACCGCCGCACAUUUCUUGAUGUCGUGGCUCCCACGGGUCAGCACUUCUGGCUCGACGAU
RNAcentral lists this long non-coding RNA (3261 nucleotides) under Capsella grandiflora. RNAcentral's name for it is "long non-coding RNA (CGRA_LNC001526)". Lineage: Eukaryota; Viridiplantae; Streptophyta; Magnoliopsida; Brassicales; Brassicaceae. The record is from RNAcentral.